GCUGGUUUGGCUCAAUGGACAGAGCAUCAGCCUGCAGACUGAAGGGUCCCAGGUUCGAUUCCUGCCAAAAGCA
Molecule: transfer RNA, 73 nt
Filed under: Myotis brandtii (Brandt's bat)
Lineage: Eukaryota; Metazoa; Chordata; Mammalia; Chiroptera; Vespertilionidae
Rfam family: tRNA
About the family: Transfer RNA (tRNA) molecules are approximately 80 nucleotides in length. Their secondary structure includes four short double-helical elements and three loops (D, anti-codon, and T loops).
Source: Rfam by way of RNAcentral